Molecule: long non-coding RNA, 3097 nt
Organism: Megalopta genalis
Lineage: Eukaryota; Metazoa; Arthropoda; Insecta; Hymenoptera; Halictidae
Source: RefSeq, a predicted model, not a curated record
CUAAACGCCAAGGGACGAACCACCUGCGGAUCAUUUCGGUAAACCAAACUGGUGACUCGUUGCAUCUCGAAUACAUCAAAUUUGGCGAGUACUAAUGAGAAAUAAAAUGCUAGGACUUUAUCGACUUUAGACAGGAUGGACUUCUCAAUCUUCGCUGUAAUGAUUAGAAAAUUAAUUUAGCAAGAAUCUCGGACAAACUUCCAGCUUGACGUAAAAAAACCGUCGUCCGCCGAUGCAGUCAUCAAGGUGAGCAGACCGGGUCUCGACCGCGUUGCAAAAGAAAAAGAAAAAAAAACAGACCGAAGGAACGCGACGUUCGCGGUCGGUAGCACAGAAAUCCUUCGCGAUCGUCUGACAUCACCGAAUGAUUGCCGAGUUAAUCACGCGGGGAAUGGCAAUGAAUGAGUCAAGUUGACUCACGGUGAAAGUGGCCGAGAGCCGCGCGGCGUGACGAUCGGCACGCUCUCGUGCAACGCGAUCAUGCAAAUCGGCCGACGGUCUCGUCGCGCCUGGCUUUUUGUACGAGCGACGACGACGCGACGAUCGCGGCUCUCCAUUCAUGGAAACGAUGUCGGACAUUUUUCUAUCGCGCGCGCGCGCGGGAUCGGUGAAAGGAUUGCAGGAAGCGUGACGUCGUCGCGUCGUCGCGCCGCUGCGAACUGUAGGCGCGGGGAUUACACCAUAGAUAUCCGGUGAUAUCGUUCGACCGGCAAUAACGAGAGACAUUUGAUACGCGACAAAGAGAAGUAAAACGUGUAGAAAAAUCUCGUGUAAAAUCUCUAGGUAUGUCUGUACAUUACCGCGGUGCUUUACCGAACUGCGUACCUUAACCUAUACAGUGCAGUUCUCGAUGGGCCGGUGCGAACACGUGAUCGUGGGGGUGCCUAUACCUAAUUUGUAAAAUGCUACAGUGAGAAUGAUCCUAGUUCGCCUUCAUUGAGGAACCGCAUUAAUACCUACAAUCACCCUAGAACGAGAACAGAAUAUGUACAACGGCUUGAAACGCUUUUACGUUGGUUUUCGAUCAUGCAGCAAGAAAGAAAACAGAAGAUUGCAUGUUGGCGCAUCGUACACGGUGUUCACACUAUCUCCACGUUCGAUUGCUCACGUUCGGUCGCUGCGUUUGCCGGGGAUGCUACGAUGGACCGUGUGCACCGUAUGCACCGAGUUCGUCGACCCGAGGAGGACCGAACGUGCCGCGGAGCUUCCAAGGCAGGACGAGGGAGACGUUUCGUCGACUUAAGGAAAUAUUUACACCCCGAAGAGAAAAAUAUUGAAUUAGAAGGGAUCAGGGCGCUCUGGUAGACGAUAGCGCGCGGCGAACGGGUCCGAGGUCGAGGAAUCGUUGUAAAUACGAGGAGAGACCGUGUCGAGUGCAGGUUCGAGCGACGAUAACGGGUCGUUACCGAUACGAAUUGUAUCCUCAGCGUUUUAAUGCCGCUGAAGUAGCAAUAAAGAAUGCGCGUUGAAAUUUACGGCCUCGCUCUCGUGUUCCCCGUGCCUGCAACACGUGGACGAGCCGCGCACGUGCAGGAGAAAAGCACGCCUACGCGUACGGAGCCGGGUAAACAGUGCUGCUGCUGCUCCUCGACCGAUAUCGGCCCGUGACCGUUCGCAAGCUGCCACGAAAAAUCAUCGGACGACGAUCGAUCUUGACCUCGGCCAACGGCGUCCACGUGGGAGACCGUUUUCACGGUUUUUUUUCAGGAAACGAACGAUUUUUCCGUCCGUUGGGAAACGGCGGUCGUCUAACUCUGCGACGUUACUAUGGAACACUGAUGAUAGCGGGACUAGUCUACUAAACGAUGACCGAAAUGCUUAUUUUUUAAUUUUGCUAUUACUCGGAAUGAGAGAAAGGAAUAAAAAGCUCGCGUCUUUCAACUGUUUUAUCGGAGCCUGUAACUGUAAUAUUUAAAAAAUACCUCUCGUAGAUCUCGCUUGGCUCCAUCUGCUCGACAAUCUAUCCUAGCCUCGUGGACUGGAUUUAUGGCACAGGUAAUACGGUCAUUGUUCCGUAGAUUUACGGGUGGCGUGACGAGUCACCUUGGGCCCAGACAAUCCGGUUAUUUAUGAUCGUGAACAUUUGUGCAUUCCUAUGCGACUGUCGCUGUCUUUUCGAGCCGUCCGAACGGAAAGGGACCCCGCCGUAAACAUGCGGGACCCGUUAAAUUCUAGACCCGGACCAUGAACUUGCAAGUGUCGAUUCCCAAAUUAACGGCGCCCCGGGGACUCUUCGCAUGCCUCUGCUCGUCUCAUGGCCGUAGGUUGGAAACAGGCACCAUCGACGCGCGAAACGAAGAAUUUCACGGCUGGCCCGAAAACUGGGCCUUGUCCUUGCUGCGCUCGAGUCACUGGGCGACGAGUUUCCGCCUCGCGAUCCUUUAUAGACAAUAGGGAGCGGUGGGACGACACCGGGCGGCAGUGAUUGAAAAAGAUGGUGGCGUGUAUUGUGAGUGGCGGGUUCCGGUGACGUCGGAAAGGACGAGGAUCCACGGACGGCGAUCGAUCGUCGGCGGAGGGAUCGCGGAACGUGACCCGGAGUAGACGAGUAACAACGAUCUGUCCGUCACCGUCACCGCGAAUGGACUGGCCGCCGCGAUAGAUACGGGCCCAGUAGACCACGCGGCGCGGGGGAGGGGGACGGGCUCGGGGCGAAUGACGAGGAACGCGGUGGAGUACGGCGAGUAGUAGCGAGUUUGUGAGCAGAGCUCUGCCGGGUCUCUUGCGUCAGUUUUUGACGGAAUCGGGAAGCCCGGCCGCGCUGCGACAGAAACCGCGUAUCGACAACGACGCAGCGAUCAUUUAUGCAUUUCUCCGCGGCCCCUGUCGCGCCGGCACGCCGACUAACUGAUCAGGGCGGCUGCUGAUCCGGCCGAUUCGGUCCGAAGCGUUCGAAUAGGCGACUUUUACGUGGUGCGAAUAAUUAUAGACGCAAUGUAACUUGUACAUUGUCACUGAUGUGUGAACGAAGACUUAACAAAAUAACGUAUUUGUAUAUUUCUAUUUUCUAUGAUUUCUGAUAUUAAAAUGUACAGAUACGAUGUUUUGUUUGGCAACGCUUUUACUGUCGAUCCGGCAACUUCAAAAAUGCUGCAAU